AAGAUUUUAAGGACAAAAGGGAGAAAAUACAAAGAAAAAGGGACAGGAAGAUGUGUAAAAGGGACAGAAGAGAAAAAGGGAGAGAGAUGAUGUGAAAAAGGGGCAGGAAGAGAGGGACAACAGCGCCACAACAUAGAGGACAGCUUCUACUGGCUUGCUGCUACCCACCUCUGCCACCUGAGCUGUGUAAAGUAUGUGUUGGAGGAAACAUGAGAGAGUGUUAGGAGAGCGGCUCCGACCCCCAACGCAUGUGGCCAGGCAUCCAGGCCAUCAUGACCAUAAGGCAACCAACUCUACCCCCCGAAACAGUGACGCCUCCUUCCCUGACGAGCUGAGCAGCUUUUACGCUCGCGUCGACAGGGACAAUGAGGACGUGGCCUGUACAUCUCCUUGAAUGACAUGUUGCAGUAAAGUACAUUUACACCAUUUAAAGCCCUCAAAGACUCUCACACUAAACUUACCAGGUAUGAUGAUAAAUACAAAAGAGCAGUAUGAUGUAAAGACACACUGUAGAUUGCUGGUGUGAUGAUGGUGUGAUAUUUGAGCCUCUUCUCCUCUGUCUCCUCUCACAGGGAGGAGAUGAUCUGCAGGAUCCUGGUGAUCUUCAUCCUGACCUCCUGUGUCUGUGCAGGGUCAUUUGUAGUCAAUGUGACACAGAGCUGGUAUCAUGCAGAGGAGAACCACAACGUCUCACUGGAAUGGAUGUUCCCCACCAGCACGGACCACUCCACCAACUCCCUUUAUGUCUCAUGCGAGAUGUUAGUUGAUAUGAUACCAUUACUCAUGUUUCAUCUACAUAAAGGUGUUGAGUUCCCAGAGUUGCAGGACAAACGCUUUGCAGGACGAGUCCAGUGGGACAAAGACGUCCUCGGAGAAGGACAACUCAGACUUCACAUCUCCAGACUCCAGACUAAUGACUCGGGGCUGUACUGGUGUGAAGUGGACACAAGUUAUGGGAGGAACUUUAAGGAAUGUCACCUCAACGUCACCGGUAGGUUCAUUAAGUUAAAUUUACUAACACGUUCAGCAACUUCAUUCAGAUACAUUUUUUUUUUCUUUACAUGAAUAAAAAAUAUUUCUCUGGUCUCUUUGCAGCAGUGAAGGAUCGGCCUGAGACAACAAGUGAUACGAGUCUGAGAAGAAGUCCUCAGGGAAUGAUCGGCCUCUACUCUGCACUGGGACUGACCGCUGUACUGGGUUUUUAUUUAUUUUAUCUCUGCAUGGCAAAAAAUAUUAGAGAUCAACACAACAAACGAACCACAUCUGUAUCUUGGACAUCUUGGAUCUUGUAAAGUGGACGUUACAAUUUAAUUGUGUUGUUGUGCAACUGGUCAGACCGGCCGUCUGAGGAACUAGCUUUUUCCCAGAGCUGUUACAUUACAUUACAGGUCACCCUUUUGAACUCUUUCCCCCCCCUCUGGUCCCCAUUACACUACUCUAUCUGCACUGAAGACACUUUAUACCAUUUGUUUACUCUCAAUUCAAUAUGCACUUAAUAUUUGCACUAGUUUAGCAACCCCUGAUGGUUUCUGUUUAUAUCUCCACAUUUAAUGUGAAUCUGUCUGUUUUGCCUAAUUUAUUACCAAAUAGUACCAUAGGCCAUAAGACAACCUCUGUAUAGUGUUUAAUGUAUCUAUGAUCUGUAUAUACUGUUAUCUAUUAAAAUACUUUCUGUUGCACUGGUUUGAUGCCAAACUGCAUUUCGCUGCUCGCUACUUGUACAUGUGUAAUGACAAUAAAGUUGAAUCUAA
Long non-coding RNA from Gasterosteus aculeatus aculeatus (three-spined stickleback), 1751 nucleotides. NCBI's taxonomy places the organism in Eukaryota, Metazoa, Chordata, Actinopteri, Perciformes, Gasterosteidae. The record is from Ensembl.